RNAcentral lists this ribosomal RNA (1550 nucleotides) under Leclercia adecarboxylata. Its description in RNAcentral is "bacterial SSU rRNA". It matches the Rfam family "Bacterial small subunit ribosomal RNA". Lineage: Bacteria; Pseudomonadati; Pseudomonadota; Gammaproteobacteria; Enterobacterales; Enterobacteriaceae. The record is from RNAcentral.
AAAUUGAAGAGUUUGAUCAUGGCUCAGAUUGAACGCUGGCGGCAGGCCUAACACAUGCAAGUCGAACGGUAGCACAGAGAGCUUGCUCUCGGGUGACGAGUGGCGGACGGGUGAGUAAUGUCUGGGAAACUGCCUGAUGGAGGGGGAUAACUACUGGAAACGGUAGCUAAUACCGCAUAAUGUCGCAAGACCAAAGAGGGGGACCUUCGGGCCUCUUGCCAUCAGAUGUGCCCAGAUGGGAUUAGCUAGUAGGUGGGGUAAUGGCUCACCUAGGCGACGAUCCCUAGCUGGUCUGAGAGGAUGACCAGCCACACUGGAACUGAGACACGGUCCAGACUCCUACGGGAGGCAGCAGUGGGGAAUAUUGCACAAUGGGCGCAAGCCUGAUGCAGCCAUGCCGCGUGUAUGAAGAAGGCCUUCGGGUUGUAAAGUACUUUCAGCGGGGAGGAAGGUGUUGUGGUUAAUAACCACAGCAAUUGACGUUACCCGCAGAAGAAGCACCGGCUAACUCCGUGCCAGCAGCCGCGGUAAUACGGAGGGUGCAAGCGUUAAUCGGAAUUACUGGGCGUAAAGCGCACGCAGGCGGUCUGUCAAGUCGGAUGUGAAAUCCCCGGGCUCAACCUGGGAACUGCAUUCGAAACUGGCAGGCUAGAGUCUUGUAGAGGGGGGUAGAAUUCCAGGUGUAGCGGUGAAAUGCGUAGAGAUCUGGAGGAAUACCGGUGGCGAAGGCGGCCCCCUGGACAAAGACUGACGCUCAGGUGCGAAAGCGUGGGGAGCAAACAGGAUUAGAUACCCUGGUAGUCCACGCCGUAAACGAUGUCGACUUGGAGGUUGUUCCCUUGAGGAGUGGCUUCCGGAGCUAACGCGUUAAGUCGACCGCCUGGGGAGUACGGCCGCAAGGUUAAAACUCAAAUGAAUUGACGGGGGCCCGCACAAGCGGUGGAGCAUGUGGUUUAAUUCGAUGCAACGCGAAGAACCUUACCUACUCUUGACAUCCAGAGAACUUAGCAGAGAUGCUUUGGUGCCUUCGGGAACUCUGAGACAGGUGCUGCAUGGCUGUCGUCAGCUCGUGUUGUGAAAUGUUGGGUUAAGUCCCGCAACGAGCGCAACCCUUAUCCUUUGUUGCCAGCGGUUAGGCCGGGAACUCAAAGGAGACUGCCAGUGAUAAACUGGAGGAAGGUGGGGAUGACGUCAAGUCAUCAUGGCCCUUACGAGUAGGGCUACACACGUGCUACAAUGGCGCAUACAAAGAGAAGCGACCUCGCGAGAGCAAGCGGACCUCAUAAAGUGCGUCGUAGUCCGGAUUGGAGUCUGCAACUCGACUCCAUGAAGUCGGAAUCGCUAGUAAUCGUAGAUCAGAAUGCUACGGUGAAUACGUUCCCGGGCCUUGUACACACCGCCCGUCACACCAUGGGAGUGGGUUGCAAAAGAAGUAGGUAGCUUAACCUUCGGGAGGGCGCUUACCACUUUGUGAUUCAUGACUGGGGUGAAGUCGUAACAAGGUAACCGUAGGGGAACCUGCGGUUGGAUCACCUCCUUACCUUAAAGAA